Molecule: unclassified non-coding RNA, 221 nt
Filed under: Hevea brasiliensis (rubber tree)
Lineage: Eukaryota; Viridiplantae; Streptophyta; Magnoliopsida; Malpighiales; Euphorbiaceae
Source: RNAcentral
UUCAGGUGGGAGUUGUUCUGAGCAUGGGUGUCAACAGCGCGUAUGCACUAGGAUAUUCUGGCACAAUCAUGGUUCCUCUAGGUUGGAUAGGUGGUGUUGUUGGUUUGGUUAUGUCCACAAUUGUGUCUUUGUAUGCAAGUACUAUUAUGGCUAAGCUCCAUGAAGUUGGGGGCAAGAGGCAUAUCAGAUAUAGAGACCUUGCCGGGUUUUUGUAUGGUCGG